Molecule: long non-coding RNA, 206 nt
Filed under: Elaeis guineensis (African oil palm)
Lineage: Eukaryota; Viridiplantae; Streptophyta; Magnoliopsida; Arecales; Arecaceae
Description: long non-coding RNA (EGUI_LNC010126)
Source: RNAcentral
UUGUUGUUGCUUUUUUUCGCUUUUUAAAUAUUUCUCUAGUUUCUGUAGUGCCGAACUCCUUUAGGUUUCUGAUAAGAUUUCUUUCCCUCUGUCAUUUAGCUGAAGUCCGGCCAACUCUUUCCUUGUUUAGAAACUUUUAUACCUUUAAGCGUUAUCCUUCGACAAAGGACUGGUGGUACUUUUCUCUCCAGUUCGGUAGGAAGGGG